Molecule: small nuclear RNA, 169 nt
Organism: Heterocephalus glaber (naked mole-rat)
Lineage: Eukaryota; Metazoa; Chordata; Mammalia; Rodentia; Bathyergidae
Gene: U1
Rfam family: U1 spliceosomal RNA
About the family: U1 is a small nuclear RNA (snRNA) component of the spliceosome (involved in pre-mRNA splicing). Its 5' end forms complementary base pairs with the 5' splice junction, thus defining the 5' donor site of an intron.
Source: Ensembl
AUACUUACCUGGCAGGGGAGACAUCAUGAUCAUGAAGGUGGUUUUCCCAGGGUGAGGCUUAUUCAUUGCACUCCGGAUGUGCUGACCCCUGCGAUUUCCCCAAAUGUGGGAAACUCAACUGCACAAUUUGUGGUAGUGGGGGAAAAAAAAAAAACUAAUCAUGCUCAUA